AGAUGGCCUCGCGUCUGAUUAGCUUGUUGGCGGGGUAACGGCCCACCAAGGCGACGAUCAGUAGCCGGUCUGAGAGGAUGAACGGCCACAUUGGGACUGAGAUACGGCCCAGACUCCUACGGGAGGCAGCAGUGGGGAAUAUUGGGCAAUGGGGGAAACCCUGACCCAGCAACGCCGCGUGAAGGAAGAAGGCCCUCGGGUUGUAAACUUCUUUUACCAGGGACAAAGGACGUGACGGUACCUGGAGAAAAAGCAACGGCUAACUACGUGCCAGCAGCCGCGGUAAUACGUAGGUUGCAAGCGUUGUCCGGAUUUACUGGGUGUAAAGGGCGUGUAGGCGGAGAUGCAAGUUGGGAGUGAAAUCCCGGGGCUCAACCCCGGAACUGCUUUCAAAACUGUAUCCCUUGAGUAUCGGAGAGGCAAGCGGAAUUCCUAGUGUAGCGGUGAAAUGCGUAGAUAUUAGGAGGAACACCAGUGGCGAAGGCGGUUUGCUGGACGACAACUGACGCUGAGGCGCGAAAGCGUGGGGGAGCAAACAGGAUUAGAU
Molecule: ribosomal RNA, 547 nt
Filed under: uncultured bacterium
Lineage: Bacteria
Description: bacterial SSU rRNA
Rfam family: Bacterial small subunit ribosomal RNA
Source: RNAcentral